RNAcentral lists this unclassified non-coding RNA (217 nucleotides) under soil metagenome. RNAcentral describes it as "partial contains 5.8S ribosomal RNA, internal transcribed spacer 2, and large subunit ribosomal RNA". The record is from RNAcentral.
AACUGAUACUACCUGCGGGAACCUGCGGAAGGAUCAUUACCGAGUUUACAACUCCCAAACCCAUGUGAACAUACCUAUCGUUGCUUCGGCGGGAUCGCCCCGGGCGCCUUGUGUGCCCCGGAUCCAGGCACCCGCCGGGGGACCUUAACUCUUGUUUUAUUUAGAAUCUUCUGAGUAGUUUUUACAAAUAAAUAAAAACUUUCAACAACGGAUCUCU